Molecule: ribosomal RNA, 253 nt
Filed under: uncultured bacterium
Lineage: Bacteria
Description: partial 16S ribosomal RNA
Rfam family: Bacterial small subunit ribosomal RNA
Source: RNAcentral
UACGGAGGGUGCAAGCGUUAUCCGGAUUCACUGGGUUUAAAGGGUGCGUAGGUGGCUUUGUAAGUCAGUGGUGAAAUCUCAGAGCUUAACUCUAAAACUGCCAUUGAUACUGCUUAGCUUGAAUCAAGUAGAGGUGGAUGGAAUAUUACAUGUAGCGGUGAAAUGCUUAGAUAUGUAAUAGAACACCGAUUGCGAAGGCAGUUCACUAUGCUUGUAUUGACACUGAGGCACGAAAGCGUGGGGAUCAAACAGG